This 72-nucleotide transfer RNA is filed under the name mine drainage metagenome. Its description in RNAcentral is "tRNA-Cys". It matches the Rfam family "tRNA". Rfam says of the family: Transfer RNA (tRNA) molecules are approximately 80 nucleotides in length. Their secondary structure includes four short double-helical elements and three loops (D, anti-codon, and T loops). Further hydrogen bonds mediate the characteristic L-shaped molecular structure. tRNAs have two regions of fundamental functional importance: the anti-codon, which is responsible for specific mRNA codon recognition, and the 3' end, to which the tRNAs corresponding amino acid is attached (by aminoacyl-tRNA synthetases). tRNAs cope with the degeneracy of the genetic code in two manners: having more than one tRNA (with a specific anti-codon) for a particular amino acid; and 'wobble' base-pairing, i.e. permitting non-standard base-pairing at the 3rd anti-codon position. The record is from RNAcentral.
AGCCCUGUGGCCGAGUUGUUAGGUAGUGGUCUGCAAAACCUUCUACGGCGGUUCGAAUCCGCACGGGGCGUC